CGAACGGGUGCGUAACACGUGAGCAACCUGCCUUUGUGUGGGGGAUAGCCGGCCCAACGGCCGGGUAAUACCGCAUACGUUCUCGACAGGGAGUCCUGUUGAGAGGAAACCUCCGGGGCACAAAGAGGGGCUCGCGGCCUAUCAGCUAGUUGGCGAGGUAACGGCUCACCAAGGCGACGACGGGUAGCUGGUCUGAGAGGAUGGCCAGCCACAUUGGGACUGAGAUACGGCCCAG
Molecule: ribosomal RNA, 235 nt
Filed under: uncultured bacterium
Lineage: Bacteria
Description: partial 16S ribosomal RNA
Rfam family: Bacterial small subunit ribosomal RNA
Source: RNAcentral